CUGGAGGAUGGAACUAGGAAAGAAAUAGGGAAUUAAGGAGAGAUGGUACCAAUCUGUGCCUUUGUCCCUGUGUUAUUUAAUUCACAAAUAUUUCUUGGUCUUCUGUCCUCUAUUGGACACUAGGAACACAUAGAUAAAUGAGUCAUGGUCCUUUUACCUAAAAGCACUUAUAUCUGCUGGAAAUGUAUUACACCAUCUCUCAUCACAGCAAAUCAUGAGGACCUUGUGAUGUUCUGGAUUUCUUUGUCCCUUUCAAUGAUCUACUUUUCAGAUGAACUGGCACUGUGGUCUUCUUGCUUGAGCAGAUGUGCUCUGGUUUCCUGGAGCUGCAUGGCCCAUGUCUACCCAUCCAACCAUGACAAUCCAAGCCUGGGCCAUAGGCUGCUCCCUACUGUUCUGCUACAGGGAGAAGAAAAGAGACAGAAGGUUCACAGUGAUUUUGGCAAACAAGUGUGGUAUAUGUUGCCAAACUGGAGACAAAGGUUCCUGCCUCUCUUACAAGCUCUUCAAUUAAGUCCUUGAAAAUCAAACAAGGUGAGCAAAAGUGAUGAAAAAUAAAUGACAGAGAUACCUAACAAGCUGAAGGGAGGAGUUGUUCACUUGUUUAUGCAACAUAUAUUUGAGUGCCAGGAGCUGGGUAAGGUGUUAGGGGCCUAAGACAGAUAAGACUUGCUGCCUGCCCUGGAAGAAUCUACAGACUUUAGAGAAGAGGCUGUGCUAACCAUAGAGGAGGACAGGCUGACUGGACAGGCUAACCAGAAGGGAG
RNAcentral lists this long non-coding RNA (766 nucleotides) under Fukomys damarensis (Damara mole-rat). RNAcentral describes it as "lncRNA (ENSFDAG00000032625.1)". The record is from RNAcentral. Lineage: Eukaryota; Metazoa; Chordata; Mammalia; Rodentia; Bathyergidae.